This 302-nucleotide unclassified non-coding RNA is filed under the name Hevea brasiliensis (rubber tree). Lineage: Eukaryota; Viridiplantae; Streptophyta; Magnoliopsida; Malpighiales; Euphorbiaceae. The record is from RNAcentral.
GGGUGCUUAGUUGGUGCUUUGACUGCAUAUUGCCUCUUGGGGUCAAUUACUGUUACGGUAUCGUUGUGGUCGGCAUACUCCUUCAGAAAUGUCUCUCCAUGUUUGAACUCGGGAAGUUUUUUCGCAUAUACAGCUUCAUAUCUAUGUGUAGGUAGAUUGCACAAGUAAUCUAGUGAAGCUUCCCGUUUAAGUAGGUCGAUGCAUUGUUCCUCAUAUUCAUCAGAGUUCAUACCAUCCACAGGCUGAGAAUAAGAAGAUGCUAGAGACUUUAUUAUCUUACGCCCCAUAAAAGCACCUAUCCG